This 1343-nucleotide ribosomal RNA is filed under the name uncultured bacterium. RNAcentral's name for it is "16S ribosomal RNA". It matches the Rfam family "Bacterial small subunit ribosomal RNA", at positions 28 to 1378 of the family's 1533-position model. The record is from RNAcentral.
GACGAACGCUGGCGGCGUGCUUAACACAUGCAAGUCGAACGGAAAGGCCCUGCUUUUGUGGGGUGCCCGAGUGGCGAACGGGUGAGUAACACGUGAGUAACCUGCCCUUGACUUUGGGAUAACUUCAGGAAACUGGGGCUAAUACCGGAUAGGAGCUCCUGCUGCAUGGUGGGGGUUGGAAAGUUUCGGCGGUUGGGGAUGGACUCGCGGCUUAUCAGCUUGUUGGUGGGGUAGUGGCUUACCAAGGCUUUGACGGGUAGCCGGCCUGAGAGGGUGACCGGCCACAUUGGGACUGAGAUACGGCCCAGACUCCUACGGGAGGCAGCAGUGGGGAAUAUUGCACAAUGGGCGGAAGCCUGAUGCAGCAACGCCGCGUGCGGGAUGACGGCCUUCGGGUUGUAAACCGCUUUCGCCUGUGACGAAGCGUGAGUGACGGUAAUGGGUAAAGAAGCACCGGCUAACUACGUGCCAGCAGCCGCGGUGAUACGUAGGGUGCGAGCGUUGUCCGGAUUUAUUGGGCGUAAAGGGCUCGUAGGUGGUUGAUCGCGUCGGAAGUGUAAUCUUGGGGCUUAACCCUGAGCGUGCUUUCGAUACGGGUUGACUUGAGGAAGGUAGGGGAGAAUGGAAUUCCUGGUGGAGCGGUGGAAUGCGCAGAUAUCAGGAGGAACACCAGUGGCGAAGGCGGUUCUCUGGGCCUUUCCUGACGCUGAGGAGCGAAAGCGUGGGGAGCGAACAGGCUUAGAUACCCUGGUAGUCCACGCUGUAAACGGUGGGUACUAGGUGUGGGGUCCAUUCCACGGGUUCCGUGCCGUAGCUAACGCUUUAAGUACCCCGCCUGGGGAGUACGGCCGCAAGGCUAAAACUCAAAGGAAUUGACGGGGCCCCGCACAAGCGGCGGAGCAUGCGGAUUAAUUCGAUGCAACGCGUAGAACCUUACCUGGGUUUGACAUGGAUCGGGAGUGCUCAGAGAUGGGUGUGCCUCUUUUGGGGUCGGUUCACAGGUGGUGCAUGGCUGUCGUCAGCUCGUGUCGUGAGAUGUUGGGUUAAGUCCCGCAACGAGCGCAACCCUUGUUCACUGUUGCCAGCACGUUAUGGUGGGGACUCAGUGGAGACCGCCGGGGUCAACUCGGAGGAAGGUGGAGAUGACGUCAAGUCAUCAUGCCCCUUAUGUCCAGGGCUUCACGCAUGCUACAAUGGCUGGUACAGAGAGUGGCGAGCCUGUGAGGGUGAGCGAAUCUCGGAAAGCCGGUCUCAGUUCGGAUUGGGGUCUGCAACUCGACCUCAUGAAGUCGGAGUCGCUAGUAAUCGCAGAUCAGCAACGCUGCGGUGAAUACGUUCCCGGG